UGCUUCAUAUAGCUUCUGAGGCACUAAAAAAACAAAUUGGAAUAAUACGGAGAAGAUUAGCAUGGCCCCAGCACAAGGAUAAAAAAAACCCAACAACAAAUUCAUGCCCUU
Molecule: non-coding RNA, 111 nt
Organism: Xenopus laevis (African clawed frog)
Lineage: Eukaryota; Metazoa; Chordata; Amphibia; Anura; Pipidae
Source: Rfam